Molecule: ribosomal RNA, 374 nt
Filed under: uncultured organism
Description: partial 16S ribosomal RNA
Rfam family: Bacterial small subunit ribosomal RNA
Source: RNAcentral
GUAGGUGGCAAGCGUUGUCCGGAAUUAUUGGGCGUAAAGCGCGCGCAGGUGGUUCUUUAAGUCUGAUGUGAAAGCCCCAGGCUCAACCGGGGAGGGUCAUUGGAAACUGGGGAACUUGAGUGCAGGAGAGGAAAGUGGAAUUCCACGUGUAGCGGUGAAAUGCGUAGAUAUGUGGAGGAACACCAGUGGCGAAGGCGACUUUCUGGCCUGUAACUGACACUGAGGCGCGAAAGCGUGGGGAGCAAACAGGGAUUAGAUACCCUGGUAGUCCACGCCGUAAACGAUGAGUGCUAAGUGUUGGGGGGGUUUUCCGCCCCCUCAGUGCUGCAGCUAACGCAUUAAGCACUCCGCCUGGGAGUACGGUCGCAAGACUG